Helianthus annuus (common sunflower) is the source of this 925-nucleotide long non-coding RNA. RefSeq lists it as uncharacterized. NCBI's taxonomy places the organism in Eukaryota, Viridiplantae, Streptophyta, Magnoliopsida, Asterales, Asteraceae. The record is from RefSeq and is a predicted model, not a curated record. The transcript has 2 exons.
CAGACCACAAACGCACCUCACUCCCCCUUUCUCUCGAAUCCGGCGACUAGAGACGACCCCCGGCCGGUUGUUCCGGUGCCGGUCCAUUCCGACAACACCCACCCCUAUCCCCUCGUCUCUGGUCCGGCCGGCGACGAUGCCGGUGGUUAAUCAGCUACCACCAUUCACCACCUUCUCCAACACCCCCCCCGGUUAGCAUGACGAACCACCACCACCGGCGUCUGGUGGUGGUGCGGCGGAGAAACAGAGAGAGAGAGAGAGAGAGGCGAUGGGAGAGAGAGCGGAGAGAGAGAACCAUUGGCACGUGGCGGCGCGUGACGGUGUGGCGUCGGGCAGGGAAAGAGAUCGAGAGGCGAGAGAGAUAGAACCGGCGGUCGGAGACUUGGACCGCCGGUCGGUUCGUUUACCCGGCGGUCUGCGUCAACGACCGUCGGUUCUUGCCAUUAUCCGACAAAACUCCGGACGAAGAUGAUCUUGAAGAUGAUGACGGCAGCCGGCCGACGGACGGAGCCACACCGGCGGCGCUGAUGGUGGUUCUCGGUGCAUCUAGUUUCUGUUCGGGUCUUGUCUUGUCGAUUUUUGACUCACAUGGUUCAUAUUGGUGCCUCGGGUCAGAUAUGGACCUCGGUCACACCCGAGUCAACUCGGGUCAACAGCAGGUCAACCUUUGUCAACGGUCAACGAUUCGGUUCGGGUCAGAUGGUUCGGGUCAGAAUAUGAAACGGUUUGGUUGACUCGGACAAACUGAGUCAACUCGGUCAAACCAAGUCAACUCAGUUGACCCGGUCAACUCAGUCAGCUCACUCGACAUUUCAGCAUGAAGACUUGGUAAAAAUUAAUGACGCGUUUAAUAUUUGUGCUUUUAUAGAUUUAAACUCACGUGAGCGAGCUCGAACCGAUUUAUAAUAAUGUUUAGUUUAUACUU